CGGGGUGCACCAGGCGCGAAAACUUUACAAUGCCGGCAACGGCGAUAAGGGAACCUCGAGUGCCAGGUUACAAAUCUGGCCGUCGUGAUGCCUAAAAAGCAUUGCAUAGCAAGGGCCGGGCAAGACCGGUGCCAGCCGCCGCGGUAACACCGGCGGCUCGAGUGGUAACCGUUAUUAUUGGGUCUAAAGGGUCUGUAGCCGGCCGGAUAAGUCUCUUGGGAAAUCUGGCAGCUUAACUGUCAGGCUUUCAGGAGAUACUGUCUGGCUCGAGGCCGGGAGAGGUGAGAGGUACUUCAGGGGUAGGGGUGAAAUCUUGUAAUCCUUGAAGGACCACCAGUGGCGAAGGCGUCUCACCAGAACGGACCUGACGGCAAGGGACGAAAGCUAGGGGCACGAACCGGAUUAGAUACCCGGGUAGUCCUAGCCGUAAACGAUACUCGCUAGGUGUCGGCCACGGUGCGACCGUGGUCGGUGCCGUAGGGAAGCCGUGAAGCGAGCCACCUGGGAAGUACGGCCGCAAGGCUGAAACUUAAAGGAAUUGGCGGGGGAGCACAAGGGCGAAUCGCG
Molecule: ribosomal RNA, 567 nt
Filed under: uncultured archaeon
Lineage: Archaea
Description: bacterial SSU rRNA
Rfam family: Archaeal small subunit ribosomal RNA
Source: RNAcentral